This 990-nucleotide long non-coding RNA is filed under the name Ananas comosus (pineapple). Its description in RNAcentral is "long non-coding RNA (ACOM_LNC018145)". Lineage: Eukaryota; Viridiplantae; Streptophyta; Magnoliopsida; Poales; Bromeliaceae. The record is from RNAcentral.
GCAGUUUUCUCGGAUUCGUGGGAUGGUAGGGCAUGGAUUGACUUGGCGAGAUCACUGAUGAGUUGAGAAGAUGCAUGGAUUUAGUGAUACACUUGUGAGCUAGCACUCUAUCAAUUAGAGUUCAAUUAAUCAUUCCACUUCACAGAAGAGUUCGAUUUGAUUUACUUAGAAAUGAUUAUGUUUAGUUGAAUAAAUUAUGAGUCGAGUUAACUUUUACUGAGUUUCCUUCCUUGGAAAGAAAGAAAAAGCUAUUUCAACAUUUUUAUGUAGUUAUAAAUAGGCUAAAUUAUAAAAAAUUUAUAUAUAUAUAUAUAUACCUACUUUUUCACUUUUUCUUUUUCACUUUUCUUUUCUAACUUUUAAAAACUUACAGUUUACCCUUUGAACAUUUUAAAUUGUUGCAUUUAGCUCCCUUCUAUCAAAAUUUCAUAAUUUAUAUUGAAAAUGCCCUUCAAAAUGACAAAAANCUAAAUUACCUUUUCUUUUCUAACUUUUAAAAACUUACAGUUUACCCUUUGAACAUUUUAAAUUGUUGCAUUUAGCUCCCUUCUAUCAAAAUUUCAUUAUUAUUCCAUCAAUUUCUUAUAAUUUAUAUUGAAAAUGCCCUUCAAAAUGACAAAAAUAUAUUAAAAAUUUAUUUUUUCUUACAGAAGAAGUAAAGGUAAUUUAGUCAUUUUGCUCUCUCCAUUAAUUCCAUCAAUUUUUUAUAAUUUAUAUUGAAAAUGCCCUUCAAAAUGACAAAAAUAUAAUAUAUUAAAAUUUUAUUUUUUAUUACAGAAGAAGUAAAGGUAAUUUAAUCAUUUUGCUCUUUCCAUUAAUGUCGUAUCCCUGAAAUAUUUUUGAAAUUUUAAGGGAGCAAAAUGUAGGAAAAGUAAAAAAAUGAAUAUUUACAAGGAGGUUUUUUGUAAUUUAGCAUUAUAAAUACAAUAUUAUUAGAAAUAGGUGUAGUUAGAGAUAGAAUAGUUAUAGUUUCGGAGUUAUUUGACGGUA